AGUGAACGCUGGCGGUAGGCCUAACACAUGCAAGUCGAACGGCAGCACAGUAAGAGCUUGCUCUUACGGGUGGCGAGUGGCGGACGGGUGAGGAAUACAUCGGAAUCUACUUUUUCGUGGGGGAUAACGUAGGGAAACUUACGCUAAUACCGCAUACGACCUACGGGUGAAAGCAGGGGAUCUUCGGACCUUGCGCGAUUGAAUGAGCCGAUGUCGGAUUAGCUAGUUGGCGGGGUAAAGGCCCACCAAGGCGACGAUCCGUAGCUGGUCUGAGAGGAUGAUCAGCCACACUGGGACUGAGACACUGUCCAGACUCCUACGGGAGGCAGCAGUGGGGAAUAUUGGACAAUGGGCGCAAGCCUGAUCCAGCCAUACCGCGUGGGUGAAGAAGGCCUUCGGGUUGUAAAGCCCUUUUGUUGGGAAAGAAAAGCAGCAGGUUAAUACCCCGCUGUUCUGACGGUACCCAAAGAAUAAGCACCGGCUAACUUCGUG
This 492-nucleotide ribosomal RNA is filed under the name uncultured bacterium. RNAcentral describes it as "partial 16S ribosomal RNA". It matches the Rfam family "Bacterial small subunit ribosomal RNA", at positions 29 to 507 of the family's 1533-position model. The record is from RNAcentral.